UUUUUUUUUAGGUAAAAUUAUAAAUUUGGUCUCUUACUUUAUUUCUAGUUUUUAGAUUUGAUCUCUGAGUUUUUAAAUUUAUGAAUUUGGUCUUUUUAUGUUGUAAAAUCGUGUAAUGUUGGUAUCAAGUUACAAUUAGACGUUGACGGUUACAAAGAAAUAUUGACUAUCACGUGUCAUGUUGUUCUUAUUGGAUGAUGACUAUCACAUGUCAUGAUUUGAAACUAUCAAAAGAAAAGAAUAAAGGUUUUUCAAUUUUAUCCAAAAAAAGGAGGGAAUGCACCCUUUUUUGAAAAAAUUUCCAAGUAACUGUUUUACGCCUUUGAGCACGUAUAGAUCCUUUGAUUAUGUCUCGCCAAAAAUCCAAUUGUUGGGAAUAACGUAUUAAAGCCAAUUCAUUUUUUUUUUCAGCGUUAUCAGUAUCUCUUGUAGGAUUAUAAGUAUCGUACUUCUUACAAAAAUUAGAUUUAUUAGUCAAAAUGACUACACGUUUGGCUUUUCUAGAACGAAUUUGAUAAUUUUCUGCUUCAUUUUUUCCCUCCCGUUGUUCCAAUUCGUCAAUAAAUUUGUAUGACCAUCGAGGAACUUUUUUACGGAUUUUGUUUAUUCUAAUACACUUUGUUCUAUUUCCAUUUACUAUUGUUUUUUCAUUCAAAUCAGUUCUAAUUGCAUCAAAUAACUUUGGCGACUUACCCAUUCAAUGACUUUGGCACCGGACGUUCCCAAACUGGAAUGUGUAUUAUCGAUAUAGGGGAUCUUUCAAUUGAGAAGAUCCAUCGACCUUAGACGAAGAGAAAGAAAGGUCUAUCUAUUUUUUUGUUUUAGUUAUUCAGUUAAACCAAUGAUUCGUUAUUGGAGCAGAUAGCAACAACCAUCUCAUCUGGGAAAAGCCAUCUUUUUCUCAACAAUGUCUUUGUCAUUUGAUCCAAUAGCGCUUCGUUAGAUAGGAACAAAUUUGAUAAAUAUUGAUAACUCUCAGAUAGAGUAUUAGAACGGAAAAAUCCAUUAGAUAAUGAACUAUUGAUUCUAAGCCAUCUUUGACAAUGAAUCAACAAUUCAAAAUGAUUUUCUUGCGUAUUCUUGAUAAACCAGUGUUUAUAUAUAGAUGUAGGAAGAUCUGUUUGGGAAGUA
RNAcentral lists this long non-coding RNA (1131 nucleotides) under Glycine max (soybean). Its description in RNAcentral is "long non-coding RNA (GMAX_LNC003642)". The record is from RNAcentral. Lineage: Eukaryota; Viridiplantae; Streptophyta; Magnoliopsida; Fabales; Fabaceae.